Molecule: ribosomal RNA, 502 nt
Filed under: uncultured bacterium
Lineage: Bacteria
Description: partial 16S ribosomal RNA
Rfam family: Bacterial small subunit ribosomal RNA
Source: RNAcentral
AUUGAACGCUGGCGGCAUGCCUUACACAUGCAAGUCGAACGGCCGGGGGUAGCUUGCUACCUGCCGGCGAGUGGCGAACGGGUGAGUAAUACAUCGGAACGUGCCCUGUAGUGGGGGAUAACUAGUCGAAAGACUAGCUAAUACCGCAUACGACCUGAGGGUGAAAGUGGGGGACCGCAAGGCCUCAUGCUAUAGGAGCGGCCGAUGUCUGAUUAGCUAGUUGGUGGGGUAAAGGCCCACCAAGGCGACGAUCAGUAGCUGGUCUGAGAGGACGAUCAGCCACACUGGGACUGAGACACGGCCCAGACUCCUACGGGAGGCAGCAGUGGGGAAUUUUGGACAAUGGGGGCAACCCUGAUCCAGCAAUGCCGCGUGUGUGAAGAAGGCCUUCGGGUUGUAAAGCACUUUUGUCCGGAAAGAAAUCGCACUGGUUAAUACCUGGUGUGGAUGACGGUACCGGAAGAAUAAGGACCGGCUAACUACGUGCCAGCCGCCGCCGUAA